This 406-nucleotide ribosomal RNA is filed under the name Burkholderia sp. Its description in RNAcentral is "bacterial SSU rRNA". It matches the Rfam family "Bacterial small subunit ribosomal RNA", at positions 56 to 463 of the family's 1533-position model. The record is from RNAcentral. Lineage: Bacteria; Pseudomonadati; Pseudomonadota; Betaproteobacteria; Burkholderiales; Burkholderiaceae.
UGCAGUCGAACGGCAGCACGGGUGCUUGCACCUGGUGGCGAGUGGCGAACGGGUGAGUAAUACAUCGGAACAUGUCCUGUAGUGGGGGAUAGCCCGGCGAAAGCCGGAUUAAUACCGCAUACGAUCUACGGAUGAAAGCGGGGGACCUUCGGGCCUCGCGCUAUAGGGUUGGCCGAUGGCUGAUUAGCUAGUUGGUGGGGUAAAGGCCUACCAAGGCGACGAUCAGUAGCUGGUCUGAGAGGACGACCAGCCACACUGGGACUGAGACACGGCCCAGACUCCUACGGGAGGCAGCAGUGGGGAAUUUUGGACAAUGGGCGAAAGCCUGAUCCAGCAAUGCCGCGUGUGUGAAGAAGGCCUUCGGGUUGUAAAGCACUUUUGUCCGGAAAGAAAUCCUUGGUUCUAA